ACUGACUGACAAUUAGAGCUGGCAAAUUAUUAUACGCAUCGAUAUUUUUCCCAUUUUUCAAAACAUCGAUGUUUUCAAGCACUAUCGAUGUUUUUGGGGCAUCACUAUUCAAAGAAGAAGAAGAACGAAUGCACGCGUAAGUGAUUGGAAAUGGCGUUGAACGCGUGUUACGACUUCUUGUGGAGCAAUCAUAUUUCUCAGACAGCAUGUGGAGUAACCUAAAACAUUAAUCCCAUACAUUUUUGGAUAGUAAAUAUAUAAAUACCGUUUUAUAAAUAUUAAAAAAAAAUUAUUCAAAUAUUAGCAGCGUUAAUAUAGUCCCAAUUUUAAACCUUCUUACACAAAGGGGUUUUAGCGAUUUAGCGACUUUUUCCAUCAUAACAUAUACACGCAUAGGAUAUUGUGAGAAAAGGGACGAUAAAACUUGAUGCAGAGGAAAUUGGGAUCACACCCACAAAUAAAUUCAGUAACCCAA
Drosophila biarmipes is the source of this 475-nucleotide long non-coding RNA. RefSeq lists it as uncharacterized. The transcript is spliced from 2 exons. Lineage: Eukaryota; Metazoa; Arthropoda; Insecta; Diptera; Drosophilidae. The record is from RefSeq and is a predicted model, not a curated record.